Molecule: ribosomal RNA, 956 nt
Filed under: uncultured bacterium
Lineage: Bacteria
Description: bacterial SSU rRNA
Rfam family: Bacterial small subunit ribosomal RNA
Source: RNAcentral
UUAGAGUUUGAUCCUGGCUCAGGACGAACGCUGGCGGCGUGCUUAACACAUGCAAGUCGAACGGAAAGGCCCUGCUUUUGUGGGGUGCUCGAGUGGCGAACGGGUGAGUAACACGUGAGUAACCUGCCCUUGACUUUGGGAUAACUUCAGGAAACUGGGGCUAAUACCGGAUAGGAGCUCCUGCUGCAUGGUGGGGGUUGGAAAGUUUCGGCGGUUGGGGAUGGACUCGCGGCUUAUCAGCUUGUUGGUGGGGUAGUGGCUUACCAAGGCCUUGACGGGUAGCCGGCCUGAGAGGGUGACCGGCCACAUUGGGACUGAGAUACGGCCCAGACUCCUACGGGAGGCAGCAGUGGGGAAUAUUGCACAAUGGGCGGAAGCCUGAUGCAGCAACGCCGCGUGCGGGAUGACGGCCUUCGGGUUGUAAACCGCUUUCGCCUGUGACGAAGCGUGAGUGACGGUAAUGGGUAAAGAAGCACCGGCUAACUACGUGCCAGCAGCCGCGGUGAUACGUAGGGUGCGAGCGUUGUCCGGAUUUAUUGGGCGUAAAGGGCUCGUAGGUGGUUGAUCGCGUCGGAAGUGUAAUCUUGGGGCUUAACCCUGAUGCGUGCUUUCGAUACGGGUUGAUCUUGAGGAAGGUAGGGGAGAAUGGAAUUCCUGGUGGAGCGGUGGAAUGCGCAGAUAUCAGGAGGAACACCAGUGGCGAAGGCGGCUCUCUGGGCCUUUCCUGAUCGCUGAGGAGCGAAAGCGUGGGGAGCGAACAGGCUUAGAUACCCUGGUAGUCCACGCUGUAAACGGUGGGUACUAGGUGUGGGGUCCAUUCCACGGGUUCCGUGCCGUAGCUAACGCUUUAAGUACCCCGCCUGGGGAGUACGGCCGCAAGGCUAAAACUCAAAGGAAUUGACGGGGCCCCGCACAAGCGGCGGACAUGCGGAUUAAUUCGAUGCAACGCGUAAAAC